This 254-nucleotide ribosomal RNA is filed under the name uncultured bacterium. Its description in RNAcentral is "partial 16S ribosomal RNA". It matches the Rfam family "Bacterial small subunit ribosomal RNA", at positions 524 to 776 of the family's 1533-position model. The record is from RNAcentral.
UACGUAGGGGCCAAGCGUUGUCCGGAUUUAUUGGGCGUAAAGAGCUCGUAGGCGGUUCGGCAAGUCAGCUGUGAAAUCUCCACGCUCAACGUGGAGGGGUCAGCUGAUACUGCUGUGACUCGAGUCCGGUAGGGGAGUGUGGAAUUCCCGGUGUAGCGGUGAAAUGCGCAGAUAUCGGGAGGAACACCAGUAGCGAAGGCGGGUCUCUGGGCCGAAACUGACGCUGAGGAGCGAAAGCGUGGGGAGCGAACAGG